Corythoichthys intestinalis (scribbled pipefish) is the source of this 616-nucleotide long non-coding RNA. RefSeq lists it as uncharacterized. The record is from RefSeq and is a predicted model, not a curated record. The transcript has 4 exons. Lineage: Eukaryota; Metazoa; Chordata; Actinopteri; Syngnathiformes; Syngnathidae.
AUCAGAGGGGGCAGAGCUUUAUAUAGUAAUAACCGAAGACGGCACACGCUCAUGUGGGAUUUAAGCUUGGAUUUAUUUACGAUUGGAUUUAACUACGAAAGUUGUACCGCAGACAAAGAGGAAGGAUUCUCUCAGGAGUGAUUUGUUCGAGGAUUCAAGAUGCUCUUCUGAAAUAUUUUCCUUCCACCUCUUUACAUCCCGGGCCAUCUUUUACAGCCAACUUAUCCACAUCAGUACCAAAUCCAAGCCCGCCAAGUCCAGUGCCUCCCACAAACAAACUGCUGGAGGAAAAAGAAAUAGUAGUAGAGGACAAACUGAAAGAUUCUGCUCAAAGAAAAGAAGGAAAAUCACGCUGUCUCCGGCAAAGCUUGUGAGCUGGGCUGCUCUUCAGUGAGACCAACCAGAGAGCGCUGACUGUCGGUAUGGCUCUCGCUUUGGACCUGCUCAGAGAGCGUUUGGACAGUGGAUGUGUCAGGAAUGGCUAGAAAUAACAGUGAGAAGAACGGAAGGGGAACAAGAGAUGAAGAGCCAAAGGAAAGAGGAGAUUAAGAGUGUGUGUUCUUGCCCGUCGUGUAAAAGGAGUAUGAAGAUAAUGGGCAGCGUUGGAGAAGCGUAC